RNAcentral lists this ribosomal RNA (484 nucleotides) under uncultured bacterium. RNAcentral describes it as "partial 16S ribosomal RNA". It matches the Rfam family "Bacterial small subunit ribosomal RNA", at positions 29 to 507 of the family's 1533-position model. The record is from RNAcentral.
AUUGAACGCUGGCGGCAUGCUUUACACAUGCAAGUCGAACGGCAGCGCGGGCUUUGGCCUGGCGGCGAGUGGCGAACGGGUGAGUAAUACAUCGGAACGUGCCCAGUAGUGGGGGAUAGCUCGGCGAAAGCCGGAUUAAUACCGCAUACGACCUGAGGGUGAAAGCGGGGGAUCUUCGGACCUCGCGCUAUUGGAGCGGCCGAUGGCAGAUUAGCUAGUUGGUGGGGUAAAGGCCUACCAAGGCGACGAUCUGUAGCUGGUCUGAGAGGACGACCAGCCACACUGGGACUGAGACACGGCCCAGACUCCUACGGGAGGCAGCAGUGGGGAAUCUUGGACAAUGGGCGAAAGCCUGAUCCAGCAAUGCCGCGUGUGUGAUGAAGGCCUUCGGGUUGUAAAGCACUUUUGGCGGGAACGAAAAGGACUGUGCCAAUACCACGGUUCGAUGACGGUACCCGCAGAAUAAGCACCGGCUAACUACGUG